CUACGGGGUGCUGCAGUGAGGAAUUUUGCACAAUGGGGGGAACCCUGAUGCAGCAACGCCGCGUGGAGGAUGACGCAUUUCGGUGUGUAAACUCCUUUUAUAUGUCAAGAAAAUGACGGUAGCAUAUGAAUAAGCACCGGCUAACUCCGUGCCAGCAGCCGCGGUAAUACGGAGGGUGCAAGCGUGACUCGGAAUCACUGGGCGUAAAGGACGCGUAGGCGGGUUGGAAAGUCAGGUGUGAAAUCCUACAGCUUAACUGUAGAACUGCACUUGAAACUUCUAAUCUAGAGUAUGGGAGGGGGAGAUGGAAUUAGUGGUGUAGGGGUAAAAUCCGUAGAUAUCACUAGGAAUACCUAAAGCGAAGGCGAUCUCCUGGAACAUUACUGACGCUAAGGCGUGAAAGCGUGGGGAGCAAACAGGAUUAGAUACCCUCGUAGUC
Molecule: ribosomal RNA, 439 nt
Filed under: uncultured bacterium
Lineage: Bacteria
Description: partial 16S ribosomal RNA
Rfam family: Bacterial small subunit ribosomal RNA
Source: RNAcentral